This 482-nucleotide unclassified non-coding RNA is filed under the name Hevea brasiliensis (rubber tree). Lineage: Eukaryota; Viridiplantae; Streptophyta; Magnoliopsida; Malpighiales; Euphorbiaceae. The record is from RNAcentral.
AGAUCACAAAACUGUCUCCUACUAUGAUGGUCCUGCACUAAUUUUACUAACGUUGCUGCCGCUGCUACUACAUCCCCAACAUAACAUAAAUAUAGCUUAAACUUGCUAGAAAUGGAAAUGCAUGAUCUGUGAAGCAUGGAGUAAAUUUUCAAGGCCUGGUAAAUAUGCAGCCUUUCGGAGGAGAUGUAGUGAAGGGAGAAUUUGAAGGAAAAACUAGGAAAAAAAAAUUGUGUAGCUUUUCAAUUAAAAAGAGUUAUACAAAAGAAAGAAAGAAGGUAAAUGAGGUGGGUUUGAAGCUUUGGAUAUCCUGAUAGGAAAAAAGUAGUGAAGCUGCGAGGGAAGUCAUAGGCUGUUUCUGAAAAAUCUGCAACCUGAAAGGAGGUGGGCUUGAAGAUCAAAUUCUCCUAAGAAUGCAUGGCAGGGUUAAAAAGUCACAGGUUGGUUUCCUAAAAAAUCUCCAACCAGUGAAAGAAUCUGAGUGG